This 406-nucleotide unclassified non-coding RNA is filed under the name Hevea brasiliensis (rubber tree). The record is from RNAcentral. Lineage: Eukaryota; Viridiplantae; Streptophyta; Magnoliopsida; Malpighiales; Euphorbiaceae.
UUCUCUCAUUUUGCAUGCUCAAGAGUUAAUUAGUUGAUGAUAUUUAUGAUGAAUAUUAAUUCAAACCCAUAACGCCCCAGCACGUCUAAGCAUGAGUAAAUUCCGAGUGAAAAACAUGACCAAAGUGAAGACACGAAUUGAAUUCAGUGUGUUCUUCAAGCAGAGUCAAUUCCGACAGAAAUAUAUGAGCAGACGAGGACACAUGUUUCAAAAUUAAACCACAUGCCGACAAUACACAAAAUUUCUCAGUAAACAACCAUCAAAACCCACAAAAUUAAGAAAAGAACCCACAAACAUGCAGAGCCAAACCUGAGAUAAGAAGCUCAAGAUAUAAUUUUUCCAAGACACAAAAAUGCUGAAUUUUGCUCAUAAUAAACCGCAGAUUUAUUAUUUGUUCACUGGUUUU